This 324-nucleotide ribosomal RNA is filed under the name uncultured bacterium. Its description in RNAcentral is "bacterial SSU rRNA". It matches the Rfam family "Bacterial small subunit ribosomal RNA", at positions 28 to 334 of the family's 1533-position model. The record is from RNAcentral.
GACGAACGCUGGCGGCGUGCCUAACACAUGCAAGUCGAACGGAGAUCCUUGGAUUGAGACUUCGGUCAAAUGAAUUGGAUCUUAGUGGCGAACGGGUGAGUAACGCGUGAGCAACCUGCCUUUCAGAGGGGGACAACAGUUGGAAACGACUGCUAAUACCGCAUAACACAUCGAGGGGGCAUCCCCAUGAUGUCAAAGAUUUAUCGCUGAAAGAUGGGCUCGCGUCUGAUUAGAUAGUUGGUGAGGUAACGGCUCACCAAAGUCGACGAUCAGUAGCCGGACUGAGAGGUUGAACGGCCACAUUGGGACUGAGAUACGGCCCAG